AUGCCAUGGUGUGGACACUUCACCAACAUACCCUUAAACCUCUCCCAAGUUUCUUUCAACGUUUCAGUUUGUUUUUGCUUGAACUACAAUAUCUCAUCAAUUUGCCU
Nicotiana sylvestris (wood tobacco) is the source of this 107-nucleotide non-coding RNA. Lineage: Eukaryota; Viridiplantae; Streptophyta; Magnoliopsida; Solanales; Solanaceae. The record is from Rfam.